GAAAACGCCGCCCCACUGCUUCCCUCUUGCUCUGCACUCCAGUGACGGUGGUGGAGAUGAUUGUAAAUGACGUCAUGAACUUCUGUCAGGACUUAAAUCAAGGUGUAGUGGCAGGUUCUCGGCAGUCGGCGCCACCUUGACGAAGGAAUGGAAGCUGCUGGUGAAAUCUCAUGUUCCCCUGGCUGACAUUGUGGUCAAGAUGAUCCUGGCUCCUCUACUGAAAGAGGUGUUGUGACCUCUCCUCCUGAGCUGGACGUCCAUCUUCAGUGACAGGUACACAAUCUGACUCUGAAACUAAUCCUGAUGCACGGUUCCUAAGGAUCUGUGCUGUGGUCAGUAGGAUAGAUUCUCCAACUUCGUGCUAAAGUAACGGGGAGACUUUGACUGUCCAGGCUGGCUGGUGUCUGUGACGGUCACUCGACUGCCCUACACGUCAGUUCAGCGUUGGAAAAACCAAGGAACACACUGCCUUCAUAUUAAUCAUUGAGUCAAGUGGUGCUGAGCCGACGCAGUCGCCGUGCGUCCAUCUGAAGUUAAUCAGCUGUAGGUUUACCGGCUGUGGAAGGAGUCCUGGUUUGACUGCAUGUGGGUCAUCAAAGGAAUGGCUGAACGGAGCUGUGUGUGGAGCUGGCAGGCGAAGCUGUGGCUGCAGAAACGGCUUUUCGGUGACGUCAGUACAGUCCUGAGCGUUUCCUAAUGCAAUAAAGCGAAUGAGCUCA
Colossoma macropomum (tambaqui) is the source of this 719-nucleotide long non-coding RNA. RefSeq lists it as uncharacterized. Lineage: Eukaryota; Metazoa; Chordata; Actinopteri; Characiformes; Serrasalmidae. The transcript has 8 exons. The record is from RefSeq and is a predicted model, not a curated record.